Molecule: small RNA, 895 nt
Filed under: Arabidopsis thaliana (thale cress)
Lineage: Eukaryota; Viridiplantae; Streptophyta; Magnoliopsida; Brassicales; Brassicaceae
Description: ATSL109530
Source: RNAcentral
AUUUAAAUUUAUACUACGGGUGAAAUUUUAGAAUUGACUGUUUGGGUUGAUAAGAAUUUGCGAUAGAAGUAGGAGUUAAAUCCUAGAAUGACAAUCAAAAUAUAAUUGUACAAUUAAAUACUACCGCGAGUGAAAUCCUAGAAUUGACGAGUUUGAAUCGAUAUUAAUAUGGGAUGGUGUACUACGGAUGAUAUUUUAGAAUUGACUGGUUUGGGUUGAUAAUAAUUUACGAUAGAAUUAGGAGUGAAAUUCUAGAAUGACAAUUAAAAUAUAAUUAUACAAUUAAAUACCAUCACGGAUGAAAUCCUAGAAUUGACGGGUUUGAUUCGAUACUAAUAUGGGAUGGUGUACUACGGGUGAUAUUUUAGAAUUGACUGGUUUGGGUUGAUAAUAAUUUGCGAUAGAAUUAGGAGUGAAAUCCUAGAAUGACAAUUAAAAUAUAAUUAUACAAUUAAAUACUACCACGGGUGAAAUCCUAUAAUUGACGGGUUUGAUUCGAUAUUAAUAUAGGAUGGUGUACUACGGGUGAAAUCCGAGAAACAACAAUCAAAAUACAAUUAUACAAUAUUAAACAUUUAACAAAAUAAACAAAUACAACUGAAAACUUUAAAAUUUGAGUUAUAAAAUUUUUUUUCGCGGUGAAUUAUACAUUUAAAUCAAACAAUAGCAUAAAUUUAUUAAAUCAUCCUAAAAAAUAUUCAAUUAUUUUUUAUUUAAUAAAAAUAUAGGCCCGCGGUAUAUCGCGGGUUAAUAUCUAGUUUAUGAGAUUUUCAUAGUAUACUUGAAAGUAUUUAUUUGAAUAUUAAAGUUUGGAGAUUUUUGUUUCAGAUACUUUUAAGAAAUAAGAAUCUUUUUUCCUAACCACCUUAUAUGAAAACAGAGAGGGUCAUGUCGA